This 484-nucleotide ribosomal RNA is filed under the name uncultured bacterium. RNAcentral's name for it is "partial 16S ribosomal RNA". It matches the Rfam family "Bacterial small subunit ribosomal RNA", at positions 30 to 507 of the family's 1533-position model. The record is from RNAcentral.
AUUGAACGCUGGCGGCAGGCCUAACACAUGCAAGUCGAGCGGAUGAAGGGAGCUUGCUCCUGGAUUCAGCGGCGGACGGGCGAGUAAUGCCUAGGAAUCUGCCUGGUAGUGGGGGAUAACGUCCGGAAACGGGCGCUAAUACCGCAUACGCCCUGAGGGAGAAAGUGGGGGAUCUUCGGACCUCACGCUAUCAGAUGAGCCUAGGUCGGAUUAGCUAGUUGGUGGGGUAAAGGCCUACCAAGGCGACGAUCCGUAACUGGUCUGAGAGGAUGAUCAGUCACACUGGAACUGAGACACGGUCCAGACUCCUACGGGAGGCAGCAGUGGGGAAUAUUGGACAAUGGGCGAAAGCCUGAUCCAGCCAUGCCGCGUGUGUGAAGAAGGUCUUCGGAUUGUAAAGCACUUUAAGUUGGGAGGAAGGGCAGUAAGUUAAUACCUUGCUGUUUUGACGUUACCAACAGAAUAAGCACCGGCUAACUUCGUG